Molecule: long non-coding RNA, 1562 nt
Organism: Meriones unguiculatus (Mongolian gerbil)
Lineage: Eukaryota; Metazoa; Chordata; Mammalia; Rodentia; Muridae
Exons: 3
Source: RefSeq, a predicted model, not a curated record
UUUUGCUACCAGACAUUGCCAGAAUGUUACAUGAAAUGAUUUCUAAGUAACCUUAGAUACCUACAAAUGUGCGUGUGAUUUUCAUCACCUGAAAUCCAAUGAAUAUCUUUAAAGGUUCUCGUAGAAGUAGGCUCCUAAACUACAGCUCUCAAAGAAAAUGGCUAAAAGGAGGCUCCGAAGCAAAACGGUCCAAAGAUGAUGGAUAAAGAACAAAAAUAAGAAACUGAGAGGGGAGUGAGGGUUGCAAAAAUGCUGGUCCCAUGGAGAGCUGCAGAGUGGAGACAGCCUCUUAAAGCCUGUCUUGCCUUGAAAAAAAAAAAAAAAAAAAAAAAAAAAACGCUGGCUUGGGGGAUGCGCAUGACUGGUGCUGGCUGUCCAGGACUACAAGAUAGGACGGAAAUCCUGACCUUGACGCUCUUCCACAGGACUGUCCGACUCUGCCAGUCUUGCUCAGCCCUUCUGGGUCUGAAGAUGCUGUCCUGUGUCAUAGCUGAAGACCAGCCUCUGCCCCCAACAAAACUACCACCGGAGCCUAGAUUUCCGCCCAGCUGGUACGCACCACCCAAAAUCAGCUGAGGACUACAAACUGCUCCAAAAGUGAGCUGCACGAUGCUACCCCAAGUAGUCCUGCAAAGAUGCAGCUCUGAAAGCUGAAACGACGCGGUCCAGCCAACGUAACUGCUCUGUCUCCAGCUGGGUCAGUGAACCAGACGCUUCUCAUGAAUGCUCCAUUGCCUGAAUCCCCUCCUGGCUUUUGACUAAUGUUCCAGUCUCCCUGGGCCCAGACAACAAUGUCCUAAUUUCAGAUGAGAAGCACUUACAGAAGAGACUAUGUUGCUCCUUCUCAACAAAGGCUGGACUGUUAUGUCAGAAGGAAACUCCCUGGCAAAGGGGACGAAAUGGCUAUAUAUAUAUAUAGUUCCUAUUUGGCAUACCAGGCUCCCUCAGUGUCAAAAAGUUACCAAAUAGACCAAGAUCUGUCAACUAAAACAGUUCAUUAGCUGAGAUAGUUCUACGAUGUGAUAGGACACUUAAUACACUCGAUACAGAACAAAAAUGGAGGGCUUCAAGGAAAAUUUGUUCUUUCUGUGCUAACCAACCAGAUGUCAUCAGAGAGACCCUAACCAUGACACAAAUUUUGUCUCUUGACAAAUAAAAAAAAUGCUAAGAUACUUGCUCUCUGCCAGCACUAUCAGCCCAUACAACAAAUAAUUACCAUUCCCAAGGAUUGGGUCACAACAGGACCAUCCUGACUCCUUAAGAUCCAUCUUGUUACAAGGUCAAAAUAAGUUCAUUCCCACUUUCUGUAACACUUGGGUUUGACCAUGUCUUGACCCAUAUUGUGGAAUUUGACCUCUUCCACAUGCCCUACCCUAACUUCCAUCCCGAUAAGCUAUUCUGCCAAAUAAUUUUAAAAUAUUCUGCUAAGUUCCUAAAUGACCAAAAACCCUUGAAAAGCCCUUAGCCUUGCAGUUUGGGGAACUAAUAUAAACCUCCUCUUUUCCUGUAUUCAAUGCUAUUUUUCAAACCCUGAUUCAGGGAGGUUGUCUGUCAGACCAAAA